AGUGAACGCUGGCGGCAGGCCUAACACAUGCAAGUCGAGCGGCAGCGGGUCCUUCGGGAUGCCGGCGAGCGGCGGACGGGUGAGGAAUGCAUCGGAAUCUGCCCUGUCGUGGGGGAUAACCUAGGGUAACUUAGGCUAAUACUGCAUACGACCCACGGGUGAAAGCGGGGGAUCGCAAGACCUCGCGCGAUAGGACGAGCCGAUGUCCGAUUAGCUAGUUGGGGGGGGAAAGGCCCACCAAGGCGAAGAUCGGCAGCUGGUCUGAGAGGAUGAUCAGCCACACUGGGACUGAGAAACGGCCCGGACUCCUACGGGAGGCAGAGGAGGGAAAUAUUGGACAAGGGGCGCAAGCCUGAUCCAGCCAUGCCGCGUGGUUGAAGAAGGCCUUCGGGUUGUAAAGCCCUUUUGUCCGGGAAGAAAUCGUCUGGGCUAAUACCCCGGGCGGAUGACGGUACCGGAAGAAUAAGCACCGGCUAACUUCGUG
Molecule: ribosomal RNA, 484 nt
Filed under: uncultured bacterium
Lineage: Bacteria
Description: partial 16S ribosomal RNA
Rfam family: Bacterial small subunit ribosomal RNA
Source: RNAcentral